ACCCCAUCUCAAAGGCCAUUCUAAUGAGCUAAGAAAAGCAUUCAAACUGUUGCUGACUCAGAAAGGGAAAAAAAGACCCUUCUUGGCACAUCAUCAUGUGUGGAUUAUAUCAACUCACUACAGACUCGUGAAUGAACCAUGAGGGACUUCCCUGGACGUUCUGGGGUUAAAACUCCAUGCUUCCACUGCAGGGGCAGAUUCUUUACCGUCUGAGCCACCAGGGAAGUCCAAGAAUACUGGAGUGGGUAGCCGAUCCCUUCUCCAGGGGAGCUUCCUGACCCAGGAAUCAAACUGAGGUCUCCUGCAUUGCAAGCAAAUUCUUUACCAGCUGAGCUACCUGGAAAGCCCCUGCAGAUGGCCGCUCCCCGUUUUAUUAUCCUCAGUAGUACUGAGCACUGACCAGUGUUCCUUAUGCUUCACUUGCUUGUCUUCCUGCUCUGAGAUAGGAAGCACCAGGAGGGGCAGAGCCCUGCAUCCAAGUGGUUCACUGAUACAUCUUCAGUGCUUAGAGCCAGCCUGGCACAUGGCAACUGCCACAUGGGUAUCUGUCAAAGCGAAGGAAUAAGUUGCUGCUCAUUGUGUGUGUGUGUGAGUGUAAUGAAAUAAAGAAUGUUAUUUAAUAUUUACUUUGUUCUUACCG
Dama dama (fallow deer) is the source of this 640-nucleotide long non-coding RNA. RefSeq lists it as uncharacterized. The transcript is spliced from 3 exons. The record is from RefSeq and is a predicted model, not a curated record. Lineage: Eukaryota; Metazoa; Chordata; Mammalia; Artiodactyla; Cervidae.